Molecule: long non-coding RNA, 3339 nt
Organism: Harpia harpyja (harpy eagle)
Lineage: Eukaryota; Metazoa; Chordata; Aves; Accipitriformes; Accipitridae
Exons: 3
Source: RefSeq, a predicted model, not a curated record
AUCCUGUGCUCACGUUGGGGUGAAGCGAGGAGUAACUCCACUGCAGCAAACAGAGCUUUGCCAAGGUGAAAUUUCUGUGGAAGACGAAUGAGCCCUUUGUUUUAAUAUUAGCUUAUAAAGCCUGUGCACAGCUCCAGCACAGCGCUCUGGUUUUAAUUAAUAAGAAUUAGCAUAUACAUCUACAUACACUCUUUUUUUUCCCUUUGCGGGCUCGGCUACUUUGAAGAAAACCUCUUUGUAUGUCUUCCUGAUUAUUCUAUAUCUCGACAUUAAAAAACCCCAAACGAAUAAAACCCCCAAACUAAAGUAACAUCAAACUCCCACGCAAACAAAAGGCUUAGCUGCUGCCGGUGGCAGGGAGUGCUGGGAGCAGCCCUUCCCGCCUGCCGAGAGGAGCCGGCUUCCAGCCCAUGCUCCUCGCUGCUGGGGAGCCAUCCAAUUCCCAGCCCGCCGUCCCUUCCUCCGCCUUUGCACAAUCCCACUGCAGUGACUUCCCAGUCCUAAUUGGAGCCUCUGGGCAUUAUUGUAUUAUUAUUAUUUAAUAAACAACCACAUAAAACACUGGUUGGCAUUUAAAUAAGAGUAAAGAAAGGAAAGCUCUGACUCCUAGACUGUUUUGUUUUCCUGUUGACUUGGGUGGAAGCAGGAGCAGGUUUUCUAAACAAUACCCGCACUCGCUCGACGCAUGCUUACCUUUAAUGUUUUAGAAAAGGCACUGCUAACAUGGGCCCGGUGUGGAUGAGAGGGCCAGACCUACUGCAGUUGUCAAUCCCUGUUGCAACAUAAGCUGUAAAUAUAGAGCCGUAACCUGGACAUUCCCAAGUAAAAUACACUAACGGCUUGUCUUGCCUAAGCUACUAAUCCUUGCCUAAGCAAAGAUUCAGCAUCAUUUUCUGCAUUGUUACCCCCAGCAUGUCCUUUCGAGUGGUUAUCCGAAAUGUGCAGCUGUCAGGAUGCUAUUAAGAAUAAAUGGAAAGAUAGUUUUAUUUUUGCAUUUGAUCGUAUGUUUGAGACAUUUCAGAGCGAGAGUUAUCAUGACAAAAGAAAACGUGGUGUCCUUGAAGUGAACGCAGAGGAGCACAACUCGUUCAAUAAGGUUUUGAAAGAAAACAAAGAGCUGAAGGCCAGAACUGACUCCUUUAGAAACAAGUAUAAAACAAGACAGGAUUCGAAGUGCUUAAAAUACUUUGGUGACAAGCAACAAAGAAGCGUCUGUUACUAGAAUUGAUUGAAUUAAGGAAAGGGAGAGAAAAUCUUGAGAACUUUUUGAGAACUAGAGAUUUGAUGUGUGGGGAGUAUAAGAACAAUAUUCUCCCGGGCCAUGACCGGAGCUCUGAAUCGGCAUAACUCUUUUCCUUGAAGAAAGUGAAAACUAGACAAGAAGCUCAGUCUGAGUGGUUUAUUCAUGGAAAAUCAGAAGACAGUCUUCAAAAUGGCCACUUGACCGAAGAAGCUGGGCUGGGAGCAUUUGUAUCUUCCCAUUUGAAAACUUUGCCUGUUUCUUUCUCCUGCAGAGUACCUGGCAACACUGAUCCACUCGCUUUGCCAGCUGAAGACUGCCCGGUCAGCUCUGCCAGAAGCCUGGGGUCACGGAGCAGGAGACAGACUGUGGCACUGUGCUGCAAGGAAGGGAAGCAUGGACUUAGUUUUGUGGAGGCUGCAAGGAGGGAGCAGUCUGGUGAGUAUUUGCACAGACACUGCAUCCAGUCUGGUAGGCAGAAGAAGAAACGCACCCUCCUUAUUUAUAGGAAGAUGGAGGUUGCUAUGCUAGGCCAAACUGAUUAAGUCUGGUAUCCUGCUUCAGACAAUGAUGCACACUGGCUGCUAGAGGAGGUGCAAGAAAUGCUGUAGUAAAACAAAGAUAAAAUCACUCAACAUGGACAUGUCUCACUGUCCUAUGGAUAUCUAGGUCACUAGUUAACUGUGUCAACAACUAGUGACCAGCAUGAGAUAGGAAGGAGGAAAGCUUUACGCUGAACUAUUCCAGUUGGUGUCCUACAUGAUUCCUCUUACUUGGCUGAAACAAAAAUGAAGAAAGAAUGAUACCCCCCCGUUCUGUUUCUUCUGAAAUAUAUGACAAACCCUGUAUUGUUCUCAAAGGUGCAGGAUCAAACCUGUCAUUAUCUCACCCAGAGUGCAAUAAAUGUCAUGACUAAGAGUUAACAGUGCAUCAAAAAUUAUCAUCUCUAAGUCUUGUUGGCAGGCUUUACAUGAACCGAACCAGGUUGUCAACUGCCUUCUUCAAUGACAACUGAUUAUAUUACAAAGAACGGCAACAGCAAGGCAUUUAUUUUUCAUUUUUAGGAAUUUGAAUGAGGAGAUCUCAUUACCCAGAAUCAGGAUGCAUCUUGCUCAGUGGAUAAAAUAACAAAUGGAUUCUUCAAAUCCCUAAUUCACAAGCAUUUCAGAGCGAGAUAGUUCAGCAGCAUAAGAAAGAUGUACUAUUCCUAGAAAUCUCCUGACUCAACUCCUGUCCUGUAUCUGUCAGUGAUUCAACAGCAUGGCAGUUAUAAUUGAGCAAAAACAUACUUCUGUUAGCAAACAGGAAGAAGCUGGGCAGGAGCACCAAGAUGGCAAUGGGCUGUGUGGGUGCCAAGGUGGGGGGUCACACCUGGUCAGGGCUGUGAGAUCAGUGAUAUGGGUAAGGUGAUCAGGCUUGCAGAGGGAAAAUCCGAGUUGCCUGUCACUGUGCGGUGAUAAGAAAGGAGGAUGCACAAGGAGGAUGAUAAGCUUGAUGGGCACUUAACAAGGCAAAGCUGAUAAGCCUGAUGGGCACUUAACAAGGCAAAAAUGAGAUACAACAGUGCUUCAUUUCUGUUUCUUUAACUAGUAAUACUCUUACCUUUUCCUUUGCAUUGAAUACUUUGUAUAAGAAAGCACUGGCUGCAGCACUUAGACAUAUAGUCUAUAGACUUCUGUAGAUUUACAGACAUUGUGUGACAUGGUUGGAGAGAGGGUGGAUUAUCAGCAGGUAGCCAGCAGCCUGGGGAGAGGUUCUUGAGAUUUGUGUGCUUCCAUGUGCAUCUUCUCAACCUCACCUGCUCAGUUGGAGAUUUGGAAAAAACCAGGACUGUGCUCUAUUUAUGAAAGUGAUAGUGACAUCAGGACAAAAAUACAUCAUCCACGUAGUUCCUGAAGCUAGAGAUUACUCACAGGAUAUUGCUAGGGCAUCAGAUAAAGAUUUUAACAAGUGGGUGUAAAAAUUUCAUCACAAGUCUGUCUUUAGGAACCCAAGGAGCUGCUCCUAUUUUCAAAAGUGUGGAAUCACUGACAACUUCAGCAGCUUUCUUCCUCCUGAUCUUAUUUUGUGAAUGGAUUAGGGCUCAGUUGUUCAGGCUU